This is a long non-coding RNA of Lacerta agilis (Sand lizard), 397 nucleotides long. RefSeq lists it as uncharacterized. The record is from RefSeq and is a predicted model, not a curated record. NCBI's taxonomy places the organism in Eukaryota, Metazoa, Chordata, Lepidosauria, Squamata, Lacertidae. The transcript is spliced from 3 exons.
GUGAGUUCCCACUAAAAAGAAAGCCCUGCCUACAAUAAUAUCUGUGUCUGCCUACCUGUCUGCUUGCCUUCUAUUCAUGAACUGCUCUACCCGUGUAGAGGGGAGCAAAGAGGACAUAGGCAGAGUCGGCCCUACCAUUGGCUUCUGCAGCAGGAGGUGCUGAGGGAUGAGGAGCAGCAGGCAGGCAUUUGGAGCGCUAAGCUGCAGAAAAUCAGAUGAGGAAAAAAUGAAUGGCAGCAUUUCGUCCCAUAAAAACCAAGAUUUCACAAACUGGUGUGUUUUGGCUGUUGUUAACUUUUACCUCCCUGUCUCAGCUAGAAACAGGGCUAAGGUGCUUUGCCAGUUGGGGUUUCCCAAGUGCUCACAGAGUAUAUAACACAGGGCUGGAGAACUGGUG